GAAUUCGCCCUUUACCGCGGCUGCUGGCACGGAGUUAGCCGGUGCUUCCUCUGGCGGUACCGUCAAGCAUGGCGGCUGUUCACCUCCAUGCAUUUCUUCCCGCCUGACAGAGCUUUACGACCCGAAGACCUUCCUCACUCACGCGGCGUUGCUGCGUCAGGGUUUCCCCCAUUGCGCAAGAUUCCUCACUGCUGCCUCCCGUAGGAGUCUGGACCGUGUCUCAGUUCCAGUGUGGCUGAUCAUCCUCUCAGACCAGCUAACCAUCGUCGCCUUGGUAGGCCAUUACCCUACCAACUAGCUAAUGGUACGCGGACUCAACCUUCAGUAGAAGCUUGCAAGCAGAGGCUCUCUUUGACUGUUUGACAGUUGUAAAACAGUGUUAUGGGGUAUUAGCCCACCUUUCGAUGGGUUAUUCCCCGCUGAAGGGCAGAUUAUCCACGCGUUACUCACCCGUGCGCCACUUUACUCAUUGGCCGAAGCCAACUUUCUCGUACGACUUGCAUGUGUUAGGCACGCCGCCAGCGUUUGUUCUGAGCCAGGAUCAAACUCAAGGGCGAAUUCGCGGCCGCUAAAUUUCAAUUCGCUAGGGGGGGGGG
RNAcentral lists this ribosomal RNA (596 nucleotides) under uncultured Pseudomonadota bacterium. RNAcentral's name for it is "uncultured proteobacterium partial 16S ribosomal RNA". The record is from RNAcentral. Lineage: Bacteria; Pseudomonadati; Pseudomonadota.